GACGAACGCUGGCGGCGUGCUUAACACAUGCAAGUCGAACGGAAAGGCCCUGCUUUUGUGGGGUGCUCGAGUGGCGAACGGGUGAGUAACACGUGAGUAACCUGCCCUUGACUUUGGGAUAACUUCAGGAAACUGGGGCUAAUACCGGAUAGGAGCUCCUGCUGCAUGGUGGGGGUUGGAAAGUUUCGGCGGUUGGGGAUGGACUCGCGGCUUAUCAGCUUGUUGGUGGGGUAGUGGCUUACCAAGGCUUUGACGGGUAGCCGGCCUGAGAGGGUGACCGGCCACAUUGGGACUGAGAUACGGCCCAGACUCCUACGGGAGGCAGAAGUGGGGAAUAUUGCACAAUGGGCGGAAGCCUGAUGCAGCAACGCCGCGUGCGGGAUGACGGCCUUCGGGGUGUAAACCGCUUUCGCCUGUGACGAAGCAUGAGUGACGGUAAUGGGUAAAGAAGCACCGGCUAACUACGUG
This 468-nucleotide ribosomal RNA is filed under the name uncultured bacterium. RNAcentral's name for it is "partial 16S ribosomal RNA". It matches the Rfam family "Bacterial small subunit ribosomal RNA", at positions 28 to 507 of the family's 1533-position model. The record is from RNAcentral.